CGGAUGUAGCCAANUGGAUCAAGCGCGU
Molecule: transfer RNA, 28 nt
Filed under: Miconia pachyphylla
Lineage: Eukaryota; Viridiplantae; Streptophyta; Magnoliopsida; Myrtales; Melastomataceae
Also listed under: 1 other name
Description: partial tRNA-His
Source: RNAcentral